RNAcentral lists this long non-coding RNA (237 nucleotides) under Elaeis guineensis (African oil palm). Its description in RNAcentral is "long non-coding RNA (EGUI_LNC008302)". The record is from RNAcentral. Lineage: Eukaryota; Viridiplantae; Streptophyta; Magnoliopsida; Arecales; Arecaceae.
GAAAUAUGUGGAAAUCACCUGGGUGGCAGAUCGUUUGCCUAUAAGAUACUUUGAUAAGAAUACUACUGACCACGAUGCAACAAAAUGCAACUAGCUUCACCAAGCAUUGUGACCGAUACUAGCGGAACACUAAUAUCUAAAACCAACCAGUCAUUUUGCUAACUUCAAUUAGCACCCCUUAGCCAUUUGCAAAAUGGGGUAUGGACAUCUUGAGAUCUUUCCCACAAGCAUCAGGCC